This is a long non-coding RNA of Microcebus murinus (gray mouse lemur), 2652 nucleotides long. RefSeq lists it as uncharacterized. Lineage: Eukaryota; Metazoa; Chordata; Mammalia; Primates; Cheirogaleidae. The record is from RefSeq and is a predicted model, not a curated record.
GCUCCUGCUGCCGCAGCUCCAGCCGCUGCCGCUCGAUCAACUCGGGCUCCGACUCGAGCGCGUCGAAGACCGCGGCGCCCACCAGCAGACCACAGAAUAACUGAAGCUGGAGAGAGCCUUAGACUGCCCAGUGCCCAGGAGGAAAUGGCCCUGGUGAAAGGAGUGAGCACCUCCAGGCCUCAUGACUGUCCUGACUUCCCAACCGAUGCCUACAAGAUAAGUUCCCUAAACUUGCCUUACUCCCAUUGCAAGAACUAAAUCCCUAAAGCCUGUCCUCUGCAGAGAUUCCGGAAUGGCCAUGGCUGUAUUUCCUGACAAACAUGUUGCUGUUAAAGAAAAAAGUGAGCCUGGAGCCCUGGUCAACAGCCUCACAAAUCUUGAAAUCCUUCUUUGCAGCUUUAUGGCUUCUGAGAAGCAAGCAGGGCAGAGGCAGCCUGUUCUCAGCACCAAACACAAUAAUUAUAAGAGCACUUGCAGUGAUUAAUCAGCCAAGAACACCCUGCAAGAUUUCUGGACACUGUCAGAAAGCUGAGGCAGGAUUUUAAACAGAAGUUCUAGGACUCUGGGCUGGUACCAAGCAACCACAGCAAACCAAACGCACCAGACAGGACUCACCAGUGGAAGUAACCAGAAGGCCAGAGACCUCUGCAGUGACCAGCUGUGACACCCUGGGCAAGCCACGGCCCUUCCCUGGGCAGCAGAUGCCUCUUCUCCAACAUGGGACGAUGAUGAAAGUAAUGUCCACACAGCCCACCUUCUGCGGGGGUUGGGAGACUCCAAGCGAGGUGAUGAGUGAGACUAAGAUAGUGAGGAUGCUAUUAAGAGCUGAGGCUCAGGUCCCCUUCUUCAACCCAGCCCUUCUCCCUGUUUUGAUUUUCAUGACUGUAGCUUGAGAGCAGGGUGGCCUUGCUGGAGCAAGUAGGGGCCACCUGACUUCCAGCUCCUCCUGGCCUUGGUGAGGGCCGGUACCCAUGGAAUUAGACCCAAGCCUUGGCCUGUCCAGACAGAGAAGCCCUGGCAUGGAUUGGCGACCUUGUUUCAGAGACUGGCGUUGAGCAGAGCUGCUUCUCCGGGGCUGGGCUCACUGGAGACAGGAAGGAGGAGCAGGGCAGGGGCCGGGGCACUGAGGCAGGCCCACAGUGCCCUGCUCCUCCAUGCCUGGCACUAACCACCUGCCAGGAGAGAGGCUGUGAGGAAGAAGCCACAUCUUAUUCGGGGAGUGAUGGAGGGAAGGCUGGGCUGGAGGGUGCUUGGAAAGCCUGGAGGCCAUCCAAAGCAACCUGCACUGCCACUUGGAGGCAGUGAGGGGACAUGAAAGGUGCCAGGGCAGGGGCAUCACACGAUGCAAUAGUGGUCUGCACCAUUGCCCUCCUCUCCAGCACUCCUCUCUGGCCACACUCCCUGCUGCUCCCUUAGGGCUCUUAGUACCUGCCUUCUGUAUUCUAUUAAUAUAUAGUUCCAAAUGCACCAGGUGUUCUCUUGUCUUUGUGCCAGAAAUACACAUUAUACCAGGUACGUAUUUGAAUGCAUUUAGUGCAUCCAGCAACCCUAGGAAUGGCAUUAUUCCCAGCUUACAGAUGGGAAAACUGAGGCUCACAGCGAAGCAACUUGCCUAGGCUCUGACAGUUAGAUAGACAACAGAUAUAAGGUUUAAACCCAGCUUGGUCUGAUUCCAAAGUCUGUGCUUUCCCUCCUCUGACACUCCCUCACUAGAAAGUGGUGGAGGACAGAGCUUAGCAGCGACAGGGGUGUAAAACAGAAGGUGUUAUCAAUGCUGGGCCUGGUGCACAGUUAGAGCUUAGCAAAAUAGCAGUCACAUAAACCAAUGAGUAGCUCAGAGAGGAAGGCUGUCGCAAGGGCUGGGACAGAGCACCUGGGUUUAUACCAGGAGGGACAGAUGCUCAACUUGGAGCAGGAAGCAGGAGGAGCUGUGGGUGCCCGUGUGACUCCAGCUUGCCAAGGGACUGGGAGAGGGGACUGUCAGUGAAUACACUGGUGGCCCAUCCACCCUGGAGGUGAGGGCAGAGCUGUUCAUGGCCCAACCCUGGGAAGUGCCCAGGCACCCAGCCUAAGCAAGGACUCGGAAGGGCCUUCACAUCUGUGCACAAAUUGAAGGAGGCCUUUGUGGCUUUGAGGUGGGUGCCUCGGAGAACAGCCAUGUCUCCGGGGUACCCAGUGAUCUGAAGGAGAACAGACCAUCUAACCGCAUGGACCAGGGUUGGCCCCAGCACUGGGUUGCCAUGGGGAGGCCCAGGGGGUACCCAGGCUCUGAGCUUCGCAGAUCUCAGAUGGAUCCAGGGAUGGUGCAGUGCAGUGAUGCAUGGAAACCACAGCAUGUCAGAGACGCAGAUCAGCUGGGAGGCAGCGCGCUGGCGGAAGGGCACGGUGCCGAUGGAAAAUGUGAUGUCGUUAAGGAACAAUGUGGGCCAAAGGAAUGAGCUGUAACUUGCUGGAUCCAAAGGACAAUCAGGAAAGCGGCUGCCAGAGGUUCAGGGGUGUCUGAUGAUGGCCUGACACUGCCCUGGGGGAGGGACGGAGCCCCAGCCCAGAGUCUAGAAGGGAAUCACCCCAUGGGCUCCAUGGCCCUUUUCUGUCCCCUAAUACCGUGCCAAGCAAACCUUCUGGUCUAUUAAUAAAUGCUUGAUGAAUUGA